Molecule: ribosomal RNA, 451 nt
Filed under: uncultured bacterium
Lineage: Bacteria
Description: partial 16S ribosomal RNA
Rfam family: Bacterial small subunit ribosomal RNA
Source: RNAcentral
GUGGGGAAUAUUGGACAAUGGGGGGAACCCUGAUCCAGCCAUGCCGCGUGUGUGAAGAAGGCCUUUUGGUUGUAAAGCACUUUAAGCGAGGAGGAGGCUACCGAGAUUAAUACUCUUGGAUAGUGGACGUUACUCGCAGAAUAAGCACCGGCUAACUCUGUGCCAGCAGCCGCGGUAAUACAGAGGGUGCAAGCGUUAAUCGGAUUUACUGGGCGUAAAGCGCGCGUAGGUGGCCAAUUAAGUCAAAUGUGAAAUCCCCGAGCUUAACUUGGGAAUUGCAUUCGAUACUGGUUGGCUAGAGUAUGGGAGAGGAUGGUAGAAUUCCAGGUGUAGCGGUGAAAUGCGUAGAGAUCUGGAGGAACACCGAUGGCGAAGGCAGCCAUCUGGCCUAAUACUGACACUGAGGUGCGAAAGCAUGGGGAGCAAACAGGAUUAGAAACCCGAGUAGUCC